Molecule: non-coding RNA, 119 nt
Organism: Myotis davidii
Lineage: Eukaryota; Metazoa; Chordata; Mammalia; Chiroptera; Vespertilionidae
Source: Rfam
AUUGCUUCUCAGCCUUUUGGCUAAGGUCAAGUGUAGCAUCUGUUCUUAUCAGUUUAAAAUGUUAAUAUUUUGGGUAUGUUGGAAUAAAUAAAAUAUAUUUUAAAUUAAUCUCACCUGUU